CCCCCCCCCAAAAAAAAGCUCAAGUAUUAAACGAUGUCAUUCAUCCAACUUUAUCACUUGCCUUAUUAAAGAAGGUCUACGCCUUUUUUUUCACAUCAUUACUUAACAUAUUAACAUAUUCAUGUCAAAGUCAAACGUUUUUAGCUUGAACAAAACUAUUAAUAAGAUAAAGAAUUCUUAAAUAAAGACAUUCGGAUAUCGUUUAGAAAUAUUUUUUAUGUAGUAACUGGGGAUAAAAUAUGUUUAAUAAUUAGUCUUGUUUUUUUAAUUAAAAAGGUUACAACAAAUUAUUCUAAAAGUUGAAACCUUUUAGACAAAAAAAAAAAGGCUUCAUUAAUUCAAAAUCAUCACACUUUAAAAAGAUUACAACCGGAAAUUCGAAUAGGUCCUUGACAAUAAACUACAAGUAGUGCAAUCAACCAUAUGGAAUAAUAAACAAAAGGGUCAGCUUCAAUUCUAAAUCAAAACAUAUUUUAUUUUCUGUGUAGUACUACACGGGAAAGUUCUUGGACACCUGUUUAAAAAAAUGCUAUUUUACAAAGCGUAUAUCAACUCGAUCUGUCUACCUGUCUGG
Biomphalaria pfeifferi is the source of this 574-nucleotide non-coding RNA. The record is from the annotation of a GenBank genome assembly. NCBI's taxonomy places the organism in Eukaryota, Metazoa, Mollusca, Gastropoda, Planorbidae.